RNAcentral lists this ribosomal RNA (2847 nucleotides) under Salmonella enterica subsp. enterica serovar Dublin. RNAcentral's name for it is "bacterial LSU rRNA". It matches the Rfam family "Bacterial large subunit ribosomal RNA". The record is from RNAcentral. Lineage: Bacteria; Pseudomonadati; Pseudomonadota; Gammaproteobacteria; Enterobacterales; Enterobacteriaceae.
GGGUUGUGAGGUUAAGCGACUAAGCGUACACGGUGGAUGCCCUGGCAGUCAGAGGCGAUGAAGGGCGUGCUAAUCUGCGAUAAGCGCCGGUAAGGUGAUAUGAACCGUUAUAACCGGCGAUACCCGAAUGGGGAAACCCAGUGUGAUUCGUCACACUAUCAUUAACUGAAUCCAUAGGUUAAUGAGGCGAACCGGGGGAACUGAAACAUCUAAGUACCCCGAGGAAAAGAAAUCAACCGAGAUUCCCCCAGUAGCGGCGAGCGAACGGGGAGGAGCCCAGAGCCUGAAUCAGCAUGUGUGUUAGUGGAAGCGUCUGGAAAGGCGCGCGAUACAGGGUGACAGCCCCGUACACAAAAGCGCAUGUGCUGUGAGCUCGAUGAGUAGGGCGGGACACGUGGUAUCCUGUCUGAAUAUGGGGGGACCAUCCUCCAAGGCUAAAUACUCCUGACUGACCGAUAGUGAACCAGUACCGUGAGGGAAAGGCGAAAAGAACCCCGGCGAGGGGAGUGAAAAAGAACCUGAAACCGUGUACGUACAAGCAGUGGGAGCNNGUGACUGCGUACCUUUUGUAUAAUGGGUCAGCGACUUAUAUUCUGUAGCAAGGUUAACCGAAUAGGGGAGCCGGAGGGAAACCGAGUCUUAACCGGGCGUUAAGUUGCAGGGUAUAGACCCGAAACCCGGUGAUCUAGCCAUGGGCAGGUUGAAGGUUGGGUAACACUAACUGGAGGACCGAACCGACUAAUGUUGAAAAAUUAGCGGAUGACCUGUGGCUGGGGGUGAAAGGCCAAUCAAACCGGGAGAUAGCUGGUUCUCCCCGAAAGCUAUUUAGGUAGCGCCUCGUGAAUUCAUCUCCGGGGGUAGAGCACUGUUUCGGCUAGGGGGCCAUCCCGGCUUACCAACCCGAUGCAAACUGCGAAUACCGGAGAAUGUUAUCACGGGAGACACACGGCGGGUGCUAACGUCCGUCGUGAAGAGGGAAACAACCCAGACCGCCAGCUAAGGUCCCAAAGUCAUGGUUAAGUGGGAAACGAUGUGGGAAGGCCCAGACAGCCAGGAUGUUGGCUUAGAAGCAGCCAUCAUUUAAAGAAAGCGUAAUAGCUCACUGGUCGAGUCGGCCUGCGCGGAAGAUGUAACGGGGCUAAACCAUGCACCGAAGCUGCGGCAGCGACGCUUAUGCGUUGUUGGGUAGGGGAGCGUUCUGUAAGCCUGUGAAGGUGGCCUGUGAGGGUUGCUGGAGGUAUCAGAAGUGCGAAUGCUGACAUAAGUAACGAUAAAGCGGGUGAAAAGCCCGCUCGCCGGAAGACCAAGGGUUCCUGUCCAACGUUAAUCGGGGCAGGGUGAGUCGACCCCUAAGGCGAGGCCGAAAGGCGUAGUCGAUGGGAAACGGGUUAAUAUUCCCGUACUUGGUGUUACUGCGAAGGGGGGACGGAGAAGGCUAUGUUGGCCGGGCGACGGUUGUCCCGGUUUAAGCGUGUAGGUGUGUGUUCCAGGUAAAUCCGGUUCACUUUAACACUGAGGCGUGAUGACGAGGCACUACGGUGCUGAAGUAACAAAUGCCCUGCUUCCAGGAAAAGCCUCUAAGCAUCAGGUAACAUCAAAUCGUACCCCAAACCGACACAGGUGGUCAGGUAGAGAAUACCAAGGCGCUUGAGAGAACUCGGGUGAAGGAACUAGGCAAAAUGGUGCCGUAACUUCGGGAGAAGGCACGCUGACACGUAGGUGAAGUGAUUUACUCAUGGAGCUGAAGUCAGUCGAAGAUACCAGCUGGCUGCAACUGUUUAUUAAAAACACAGCACUGUGCAAACACGAAAGUGGACGUAUACGGUGUGACGCCUGCCCGGUGCCGGAAGGUUAAUUGAUGGGGUCAGCGCAAGCGAAGCUCCUGAUCGAAGCCCCGGUAAACGGCGGCCGUAACUAUAACGGUCCUAAGGUAGCGAAAUUCCUUGUCGGGUAAGUUCCGACCUGCACGAAUGGCGUAAUGAUGGCCAGGCUGUCUCCACCCGAGACUCAGUGAAAUUGAACUCGCUGUGAAGAUGCAGUGUACCCGCGGCAAGACGGAAAGACCCCGUGAACCUUUACUAUAGCUUGACACUGAACAUUGAGCCUUGAUGUGUAGGAUAGGUGGGAGGCUUUGAAGUGUGGACGCCAGUCUGCAUGGAGCCGACCUUGAAAUACCACCCUUUAAUGUUUGAUGUUCUAACGUGGACCCGUUACCCGGGUUGCGGACAGUGUCUGGUGGGUAGUUUGACUGGGGCGGUCUCCUCCUAAAGAGUAACGGAGGAGCACGAAGGUUGGCUAAUCCUGGUCGGACAUCAGGAGGUUAGUGCAAUGGCAUAAGCCAGCUUGACUGCGAGCGUGACGGCGCGAGCAGGUGCGAAAGCAGGUCAUAGUGAUCCGGUGGUUCUGAAUGGAAGGGCCAUCGCUCAACGGAUAAAAGGUACUCCGGGGAUAACAGGCUGAUACCGCCCAAGAGUUCAUAUCGACGGCGGUGUUUGGCACCUCGAUGUCGGCUCAUCACAUCCUGGGGCUGAAGUAGGUCCCAAGGGUAUGGCUGUUCGCCAUUUAAAGUGGUACGCGAGCUGGGUUUAGAACGUCGUGAGACAGUUCGGUCCCUAUCUGCCGUGGGCGCUGGAGAACUGAGGGGGGCUGCUCCUAGUACGAGAGGACCGGAGUGGACGCAUCACUGGUGUUCGGGUUGUCAUGCCAAUGGCACUGCCCGGUAGCUAAAUGCGGAAGAGAUAAGUGCUGAAAGCAUCUAAGCACGAAACUUGCCCCGAGAUGAGUUCUCCCUGAGACUUAAAGUCUCCUGAAGGAACGUUGAAGACGACGACGUUGAUAGGCCGGGUG